UUGUAACAUGAUUACUGCGGUUUUAGUUAGCACCCGUCUUUAAAUUCAUCAUAUUUUGAUCUUUUUAUUUUUUCAUUUUCUAACGUUGAACGACUUUUCAUUUUCACUCCUUAGGUUUCAGGAGGGUUUCUUUCGUUCCUUUCUCUCUGCUACAACUAUGGCGAAACCUGGGUAAGGUCGUGGCUCCCCCUCCGAUUCCGUUUCCGGCUCCUCCUCUGGUUCCUCUUCCCCCUCCGACUCCCGUUCCUCGUGUCGCUCGCGCUCCUUUUCUCGGUCCUGUUCUCCCUCGUGCUCCAAAUCCUCUUCCCCCUCCUGCUCCUCUUCCUCUCCAAGCUCCCGCAGCCUCAGCUGUCCCCCGUAGAGGAGCCACUGUAAGGGGGUUUUGGAGCGCCGCCAGAACCACCGCGUUCUGUGGAUCUCGGUUGCGACAGAGAGGAGGAUGCCAGGGAAGAUCGUGGCGGAGAUGAGGGACAUGGAGAGGCUGUGGAUGGUGGGGAAUGGCCCAAGAGGGAUUUGACGAUGGCGAAAGAGGAGAGAAAGAGAGAAGUGGAAGAGGAUUGAGAGGAAGAGGUAGGAGGCGAUUGAGGUGAAGAGGAAGGACCACGUGGGGAUAUUUCGGGGAUAUUAGCAUGAAGUUGUCUAAGUUUCUUGGCACAUAUGAUUUUGACAGCUUGCCUUUUGACUGGGGAGAAAAUUACAAGCUUCCAAAUAUUUCUUAGAAAGAUCUUGUUAUAUAUGAGAUGAAUGUCUGGGAAUUUACAAGUGAUGAAUCUAGUGGUUUGGAUAGCAACAUUCAUGGCAGCUACCUCGGUAUGAUUGAAAAGAUUCCACACCUUCUAGAGCUUGGUAUCAAUGCAGUAGAGUUGCUGCCUGUCUUUGAGUUUGAUGAGUUGGAUUUCCAGAGGCGUCCAAAUCCCAGAGCUUGAUAUUCCGUUCAAUUGAUUCAAAUUCUGUCAAGGGGUUUCCAAAGGAGCCAAAAGAUGCAUCUAGCAUGAAUCUUGUAUGUGGGAAGAAUGUGCUGAUUGACAUGAGCAUACAUACAGCAUAUGUAAAGGCCAUUCGUGCUGCACAACAUUACAUUUAUAUAGAGAAUCAAUAUUUCAUUGGGUCUUCAUAUAAUUGGAGUCAACAUAAAGACCUUGGUGCUAAUAAUUUAAUUCCUAUGGAAAUUGCACUGAAGAUUGCUGCAAAGAUAAGGGCAAACGAGAGACUUGCAGUGUACAUUGUCAUUCCAAUGUGGCGCCAGAGGGUGUUCCAACUGGUGCUGCCACUCAAAGAAUUCUAUUUUGGCAGCAUAAAACAAUGCAAAUGAUGUAUGAGACAAUUUACAAGGCUUUGGUUGAAGUUGGUCUCGAAGCAGCAUUCUCUCCACAAGACUAUUUGAUCUUUUUCUGUCUUGGCAAUAGGGAGGCCAUAGAUAUGUAUGAGAAUAUCACUGUCUGGAACUCCUCCGCCAGCAAAUAGUCCACAGUGCUCUUUAUCCAGGCCAGAACCAAUCGACGUUUCAUGGUUUAUGUUCGUUCAAAAGGCAUGAUAGUUGAUGAUGAAUAUGUUAUAUUGGGGUCUGCAAACAUCAACCAGCGCUCUAUGGAAGGAACAAGGGACAUCGAGAUUGCAAUGGGUGCCUACCAACCUCAUCAUACCUGGCAAGAAGGCAGUAUUAUCCUAGUGGGCAGAUCCAUGGAUAUAGGAUGUCACUUUGGGCUGAACAUACGGUGCUAUUGAAGAGUGCUUCUUACAACCAGAGAGCCUUGAAUGCAUUAGAAGGGUUAGAACAAUGGGUGAGCUGAACUGGAAUCAAUUUGCAUCAAAUGAUGUAACAGAGAUGACAAGGC
This is a long non-coding RNA of Glycine soja, 1835 nucleotides long. RefSeq lists it as uncharacterized. The transcript has 9 exons. NCBI's taxonomy places the organism in Eukaryota, Viridiplantae, Streptophyta, Magnoliopsida, Fabales, Fabaceae. The record is from RefSeq and is a predicted model, not a curated record.